Panicum hallii is the source of this 462-nucleotide long non-coding RNA. RefSeq lists it as uncharacterized. The transcript has 2 exons. Lineage: Eukaryota; Viridiplantae; Streptophyta; Magnoliopsida; Poales; Poaceae. The record is from RefSeq and is a predicted model, not a curated record.
UCCGGUGUCGAAGGCCGUGGACGACGUCGUUGCCGAGGCUGCGCGACGGCGGACCUUCCCCCAUCCCGCACCACCACGGAGCCCAGGCGGCGCGGCUCCACAGCGGAGUGGGGGGUGGGGUGGGGGGGGGGGGAGCGUGGAGUCGGGGACGACGCGAGGGAAAGGAGAGGGUGCCGCCGCAGGUUCGGCCGGGGACGGGGACGGGGAAGGAGAGGCCGCCGCCGAGCCAGCCGGGGACGGGGAAGGAGAGGCAUCUUUGAGCGUACAGCUGAACUAAUCGGAAUAUCUGAUGUGAAAUGCAGGAACCUGAAAGCUAUACACAUCACAACAGAAACCAGAUAGUCCCAAGCCCCAAGCUCAAGAUCAAGUGCGGCAGUUGCACACAUUAUUGUUUUCUGCUAAAGUAAACAUUUGCACAACAACCUCUUUUCGCAUGCCUUAUACAAAGCCGAGUAUAUGCUA